This 429-nucleotide ribosomal RNA is filed under the name Chloroflexota bacterium. Its description in RNAcentral is "Chloroflexi bacterium partial 16S ribosomal RNA". It matches the Rfam family "Bacterial small subunit ribosomal RNA", at positions 355 to 776 of the family's 1533-position model. The record is from RNAcentral. Lineage: Bacteria; Bacillati; Chloroflexota.
UGGGGAAUAUUGCACAAUGGGCGCAAGCCUGAUGCAGCCAUGCCGCGUGUAUGAAGAAGGCCUUCGGGUUGUAAAGUACUUUCAGCGGGGAGGAAGGGAGUAAAGUUAAUACCUUUGCUCAUUGACGUUACCCGCAGAAUAAGCACCGGCUAACUCUGUGCCAGCAGCCGCGGUAAUACAGAGGGUGCGAGCGUUAAUCGGAUUUACUGGGCGUAAAGCGUGCGUAGGCGGCUUCUUAAGUCGGAUGUGAAAUCCCUGAGCUUAACUUAGGAAUUGCAUUCGAUACUGGGAAGCUAGAGUAUGGGAGAGGAUGGUAGAAUUCCAGGUGUAGCGGUGAAAUGCGUAGAGAUCUGGAGGAAUACCGAUGGCGAAGGCAGCCAUCUGGCCUAAUACUGACGCUGAGGUACGAAAGCAUGGGGAGCAAACAGG